GAGCUCCUCUCCAGUCUGGAUGGCUCUCUUGGCAAAGAUCCCUAUCCUGUGAUCCCCGUUCACCAUCAUCACUACAGACAGCACAGACAGGCGGCGUGUCCUCGUCUUCAGCGGGAGCCCGAGCGAUGAUGCUGGACUCCUUCACCCUGAACUCGUAAACCUGCAGGACGCCGUGGCAACAAAGUUAAGACUGUCUUGGUGCCGAUGAGCCGAGCGAUGGCGCAGUAGUUGUCGUAGUACGUGCCGAUGAGAACCCUGAACAGAGAGGCUUCGGCUCCGCUCCACUCCACCGCUUCAGCCUCGCCGGUCAGCUUCAUCUUCACUGGAGUCUGACACCCUAUUACAAGUUGAUACGCACCAUGAAGUUCUGCUGCAGCGGAGACCACGAGUACAUGACCGGGACCGAGGCCACGGCGUUGAGUGUCUUCAGGGGGAUGACCUGCCUGGGGAACUCAGAGAAACCGCUGUCCACCGUACACUGUACAGAACAACAGGCAAGACAGGCAGGACCUUUCUCCGACCGCUUCCCUGUGAGCACCAUGAUCAACCUGCAGCUAAACAGAAGAAGAAGAAGAAGUUUCGGGGUGCGUGGCAGAACCACUCUUAUGAUGGGGGAGUGUGACGACCCUCUCUGAUCAAGCCUCUCCCUGCAGGAGCCUGAUGGGUGGAGUUCAGCUAUCAGGAGGCUUCAGCUCACCUGGACUGGCUGCACUAUAUACACUGGUGGCAGUCAGCCAGUCUGUUCACUGGUUUCCACCCUGUUUUGUUUUGCCUUUAGACUGAUUUCCCUUUUUAGGUCUGUGAAAUAAACUUAUUUUUAGUAAUAACUCAGGUGUGGUCUUCCCUCCUUUGUCCAGCCUUGAGCUGGGUUAUGACAAUAUAUACAUUUAGCGCUGCCACAAGUAAUCAAUUACUUGUCAACUAUUUUGAUUAUCAAAUACUUGUUUUUGGUAAUUUUUCAAUCAAAACUGCAAA
Long non-coding RNA from Seriola aureovittata, 975 nucleotides. RefSeq lists it as uncharacterized. The transcript is spliced from 6 exons. The record is from RefSeq and is a predicted model, not a curated record. NCBI's taxonomy places the organism in Eukaryota, Metazoa, Chordata, Actinopteri, Carangiformes, Carangidae.